This 771-nucleotide ribosomal RNA is filed under the name uncultured bacterium. RNAcentral's name for it is "bacterial SSU rRNA". It matches the Rfam family "Bacterial small subunit ribosomal RNA", at positions 8 to 796 of the family's 1533-position model. The record is from RNAcentral.
AGAGUUUGAUCAUGGCUCAGGACGAACGCUGGCGGCGUGCUUAACACAUGCAAGUCGAACGGAAAGGCCCUUCGGGGUGCUCGAGUGGCGAACGGGUGAGUAACACGUGGGUGAUCUGCCCUGCACUUUGGGAUAAGCCUGGGAAACUGGGUCUAAUACCGAAUAGGACUGCGCUCUUCAUGGGGUGUGGUGGAAAGCUUUUGCGGUGUGGGAUGGGCCCGCGGCCUAUCAGCUUGUUGGUGGGGUAAUGGCCUACCAAGGCGACGACGGGUAGCCGGCCUGAGAGGGUGACCGGCCACACUGGGACUGAGAUACGGCCCAGACUCCUACGGGAGGCAGCAGUGGGGAGUAUUGCACAAUGGGCGCAAGCCUGAUGCAGCGACGCCGCGUGAGGGAUGACGGCCUUCGGGUUGUAAACCUCUUUCAGCACAGACGAAGCGCGAGUGACGGUAUGUGCAGAAGAAGGACCGGCCAACUACGUGCCAGCAGCCGCGGUAAUACGUAGGGUCCGAGCGUUGUCCGGAAUUACUGGGCGUAAAGAGCUCGUAGGUGGUUUGUCGCGUUGUUCGUGAAAACUCACAGCUUAACUGUGGGCGUGCGGGCGAUACGGGCAGACUGGAGUACUGCAGGGGAGACUGGAAUUCCUGGUGUAGCGGUGGAAUGCGCAGAUAUCAGGAGGAACACCGGUGGCGAAGGCGGGUCUCUGGGCGGUAACUGACGCUGAGGAGCGAAAGCGUGGGGAGCGAACAGGAUUAGAUACCCUGGUAGUCC